AGUGAACGCUGGCGGUAGGCCUAACACAUGCAAGUCGAACGGCAGCACAGUAAGAGCUUGCUCUUACGGGUGGCGAGUGGCGGACGGGUGAGGAAUACAUCGGAAUCUACUUUUUCGUGGGGGAUAACGUAGGGAAACUUACGCUAAUACCGCAUACGACCUACGGGUGAAAGCAGGGGAUCUUCGGACCUUGCGCGAUUGAAUGAGCCGAUGUCGGAUUAGCUAGUUGGCGGGGUAAAGGCCCACCAAGGCGACGAUCCGUAGCUGGUCUGAGAGGAUGAUCCGCCACACUGGGACUGGGGCACGGUCCAGACUCCUACGGGAGGCAGCCGUUGGGAAUAUUGGACAAUGGGCGCAAGCCUGAUCCAGCCAUGCCGCGUGGGUGAAGAAGGCCUUCGGGUUGUAAAGCCCUUUUGUUGGGAAAGAAAAGCAGCAGGUUAAUACCCCGCUGUUCUGACGGUACCCAAAGAAUAAGCACCGGCUAACUUCGUG
This 492-nucleotide ribosomal RNA is filed under the name uncultured bacterium. RNAcentral describes it as "partial 16S ribosomal RNA". It matches the Rfam family "Bacterial small subunit ribosomal RNA", at positions 29 to 507 of the family's 1533-position model. The record is from RNAcentral.